Molecule: ribosomal RNA, 497 nt
Filed under: uncultured bacterium
Lineage: Bacteria
Description: partial 16S ribosomal RNA
Rfam family: Bacterial small subunit ribosomal RNA
Source: RNAcentral
GAUGAACGCUGGCGGCGUGCCUAAUACAUGCAAGUCGAGCGAACGGACGAGAAGCUUGCUUCUCUGAUGUUAGCGGCGGACGGGUGAGUAACACGUGGAUAACCUACCUAUAAGACUGGGAUAACUUCGGGAAACCGGAGCUAAUACCGGAUAAUAUUUUGAACCGCAUGGUUCAAAAGUGAAAGACGGUCUUGCUGUCACUUAUAGAUGGAUCCGCGCUGCAUUAGCUAGUUGGUAAGGUAACGGCUUACCAAGGCAACGAUGCAUAGCCGACCUGAGAGGGGGAUCGGCCACACUGGAACGGAGACACGGUCCAGACUCCUACGGGAGGCAGCAGUAGGGAAUCUUCCGCAAUGGGCGAAAGCCUGACGGAGCAACGCCGCGUGAGUGAUGAAGGUCUUCGGAUCGUAAAACUCUGUUAUUAGGGAAGAACAUAUGUGUAAGUAACUGUGCACAUCUUGACGGUACCUAAUCAGAAAGCCACGGCUAACUACGUG